Long non-coding RNA from Selaginella moellendorffii, 715 nucleotides. RefSeq lists it as uncharacterized. The transcript is spliced from 3 exons. The record is from RefSeq and is a predicted model, not a curated record. NCBI's taxonomy places the organism in Eukaryota, Viridiplantae, Streptophyta, Lycopodiopsida, Selaginellales, Selaginellaceae.
UCCACAUUUUGGAACUGCGAAGAGCGAUAGUGGUUUAGAAGAAUGACAAUGAGCAAGUGGAACGUGGAUUUACCUUCAAGAAGACUCGGACAGGUGCUUCGACCUCCGUGUUGAGCUUCGCGUGCUGGCUGGCUGUGUCGUCCUCGGACGCCGCAUCUUCUCCAGGAGCUCCAAAGGAAGGUGGCGCGAGUGAUCUAAGCUGAGCGGCCCUGGAGCUGCCGAUGGUAUUUCUCUCAGGGAUGGAUUCGAAACACGCGACUCGGUGCUGCUGAGACGAGUCAACUUCCGCUCGAUCAAACUCCGGGUUCUCGUACAGGUGGAACUUGGAGGAGAGGCCAGCCAUCUCCGCUGCUACGGUGCUGCUGUUGCUGCUGCUGCUCGCGCUUUCCAUCAUCCUCUUCCUUCCUCAGAGCGAAUACAGGGUAAAGAUGCUUCUGCUCCUGCUGCUGCUUCUGCCCCUGCUCGUGCUCCCGUUUGUGCCGCUGCCGCAUUCCGUUUUCCUGGAUUUGGUUCGUUCCGCAAGGAUCCACAACAAACCAGAGAAGCUCAUGCGCUUGGCGUUCACACCACACAAAGCGUGCGGCUCACCUUUUCCUCUUUGUACAACGAGGCGACAUAAAAAGAAACCGACUCAACAGCGUUUAAUCGAGAUUGACAACCAUGCCAAGGCUGUUCGCGGCACAAAGAUGGUGAGAGUUCAGCGCAACUAAGAACC